UUCAUAUCAGCAAGAAAUCCUAAAAAGGUUAAAUUACUACAGACCUUUAUAGUGUAAAGGUUAGGGUUUGGUUAUGUAAGACAGAGCUGACAACUUGUACCUAUUAGUUAUCUAACAUGUCGAACACCUGUGUGGACGCGGAACUGGAGUUCAACUGGAGGCCCAGAGUUUGUCUCUGAAAAUCUGCUACAGUAAGUAUCAUUUUCAUUUGAAAGAUUAUUUCUUGCUGAUAUCAGAAAGGGGCAUAUGUUUUUCGAAAACAGUUUCGCAAGCGAUGAUUGACAUUUCUAAAAGUUAAAACAGCUUCGGAAUUACAGUUCAAGGAGCCAGUCGUGGACGAAGUUAACCAGUGAAAACCCUAAGCAGAGAAUGGGUUUUCGAGAACUAUGGAUCUCUGAUCUCAGCAGAUGUAACCUCUGAACUCUCCAUGUCAGUUUCCUCUCCAUGUCAGUUUCCUCUCCCUGGUUCUUCCAGCACAGGGAGCAUAGCAGAACCACACAGGUAGACAGCCACCACCAUCCACACCACCACCCCAAACAGCAUGAAGGACAACAGGUUGCCGUCCAUGGUCCCUCUAGUUGUGGCGCGGAAGGGAAAGAGAUAUUGAGAAAGAAAGAGAGGGAGGUGGAGACAGAAAGAGGCUCCCUUGACCUUCCAAAUGGACAGUGUGCAGACCCUACUGACCAAAAAGGAGGACGAUGGAAUAAGUCUGUGUGUUCGUGUAUGCAUCUGUGUUUACGUGGGAGACUAAGUAUUCUGUAAAGAGGACAUAGUUGGCUGCCUAGAAACAGGUAUGGAGCAUGUUACCCUACCAAGGAGAAGAGGUAACAUUGAGACGUCACUGGAUCUCCCACCUAAAAACACUGACCCCUAGUGGUUUAAAUAUUGACUUUGAUCUCAGGCCCUUUCUAUGAACAUUUCAAACCAAUGAACAUGUUUUCCCCACAGCUUAUUAGCUGAUACUGCAUAUCAUGUUUCCCAUGUUGAUGAUGCUCAUUAUGCAUUAUGUUUGAACCACAAGAAGAUAUUAAAUCCAGGCUGUAUCACAUCCGGCCGUGAUCGGGAGUCCCAUAGGGCAGCGCACAGUUGGCCCAGCGUCGUCCGUGUUUUGGGAGGGUUUGACCAGGGUAGGACGUAAUUGUAAAUAAUAAUUUGUUCUUAACUGACUUGCCUACUUAAAUAAAAUAAAAAAUUACAUUAUGAAAAAGAUUCAAGUAAAUUAAAUGUAACAAAUAAUUGAUAUUAACAUGUAUUCUAUUAAAUCUAAUCAUAUAGACAUGAUUAUGUAAA
Non-coding RNA from Salmo salar (Atlantic salmon), 1290 nucleotides. NCBI's taxonomy places the organism in Eukaryota, Metazoa, Chordata, Actinopteri, Salmoniformes, Salmonidae. The record is from RefSeq and is a predicted model, not a curated record.